CACAAAGCGAUGCGAAAUGCAGAUCUGUCAAAUUUUUUGCAGGUCGCGAAUGGCGUGUGUGUGUGUUCGAUCUAAGCCAACAUGGUACGUGGUACCACACCGCCAGAAAGGACGAGUGCCGGCGCGUCCCGUCCGCGUCUCGACGCGGUUUACAGGAUGAGCGAUCUUUUUCUUUUUCUUUUUUUUUUCUUUAUCUUUUGUUUUGACAGAUUGCAAUCCCCGUUCGCGUCGAGCACGCGUAGAGCGCGUCGUUGAGAGACCGGAAACGCGGCUUGGACUGUCUUCUCCGAUGCGCUUCCGAAGUAGUGCUGAUCUCUAACCGAUCUCUAAAACCGGGAUCUCGAUAUUCCGUAAAGAACGGAUUCAAAUAGUCGGUGGCGCGCGACGCAAAUGUUGCCGCUUACUUUUCAACGAUCGGCACGAAUUGUUUGCAACACUCGCUUUCCGUUUGAAAAUAAUCCAGAAAGCCUCGUCGCAACGGAGACAGAUCGUCCAAUGCGUCGCCGAUCCCCAGUGGUACUCCCACACCCAAGUAUAUCUUACACAUGACAUACACCGUUUUGAUCAAGGUACUAUUCAAAGCUCAAACGAUGUUAGUCACUAAAUAAUGGUGAAAAGAAAUAACCGAAGAUUCGCACCCGCUUGUCGCUCCCGGGGCGUUUUAUCCCGAGGCUUUUUUUUUUUUCACGCCCGGGUUUUCCGCCGGGAUGCACACAGACGGGUUUUUUUGAUAAAAAACAUUUAUAAGAUGAUCAACCACUCUUCGUUCCGCGAAAGACGUCGAUUCGAUAUUUUUUGUUACUUGUCUCGUUUGCAAAAAAAAUUAGUCGUCAAUAUUACAACUAAUAUUCUUUUAAUUAUAUAUAAAUUUUUUUUCCACGAGAGUUUUUUGACUGACUGUACGAGUCUUUCUCGCAGAUUUCACGUCGUCUUUACGAACUUUAAAUAUGUGAACUUUCCUCUAAGACACAUUUUUUGAAGACGCGAAAUAAAGUAAAUUUUCAUAAUUUUAGUAAUUCUACAAAUACAUGUUACGUGAACUGAAACAUUUCUCUUUGUAAUAAUACAAGUAAUAUGUGUCAUACAACUUUCUGUUUAAAAAAAUUAUUGAGAAACAAAUAAAAAGAAAAAAAAAACAAAUUUGACAUAAAUCGAGAAUUAUUACGACUGAAGUUGAAUUGAAAUAAAUUUCAACUUCGUCGCAUUUAGCAGCAGAAAUUUUCACAUGUUACCUUUGUUCGAGAAGUUGAUCACCUUAGGCCACACUCUAUCGAGGAUCCAUUGAGAUCGCUAAUAAUAUAUUAUCCACAUGAAUGGAUCCACGAUAAGAGAGGUGAAACGAGUCAUGCUUGAGAAUACAUCAAAAUUACUUGUUUUUUUUUGUUUUUCAAAUUAAAACUAGAGCAACACACUUUGAAACACGCAGAAAUUUAUAUCGUCAUUCUCUCUUCAAAAGUUUCCUUCAAAACAUAAUAUUUUUCUUUGCUCAAUUUUUUUGCAUUUAGGAGAGAUUAUUCCCAAACAAUGACUCGUCAUUGAGCAACCUUUACGUCUAAAACUAAGAUUUAAUACGAAACCGAUCUCAAAGCAAAUAGCGUUACGCAAUCAAGGUAAAAGCCAAAUACAUUCGUCUAAGAGGUCGAGCCUCGGGGAUCCGAAGACGUGAAAAACCAUCAACAAACACUUGCUCCGAAUGAAAUUCUCAAGGCACAUUUGUUAACAUCUCGAAUCGUCGCAGCGCUGCUGUCCGAAAGAAAGUGGACGUUUCCCGACGGGUUAAAGAGCACAAAAAUGAAGAGAGAGCAGCGAAUCCCGAGGCUCGGCUUUCGAGAAACAGAAAAACGACAAAACAGAGCUAAAAUAAAGCCAGGAGGUAAGAAGGAUAACGGUUGCUCCAAAGAGUGAUGUUAAAAACAAGCCCAAGUAAUCGGAAGGACUCGGUGAUGCGAGAACGACACAAUCUGUCUCAACAUCAAAAAUGUAUCGGCAAUAAAUUAUCAAACAUCGUCAAUCGAUCAUUUAUCAUUAAAAAUAUUAUCAUUAUCAUCGUCGUCGCCAAUAAAAUGACGAGACGCUUCGUUUUUUUUCUUUUUUCAUUUCACAAAUAAAAAAAAGAACAAAACCGAGAAGAGUCUCUACAUCUUUCUCUUUUUUUUUUUUUUUUCUUUCUCGGGGCGGUGAAUGUGUAAUUUAUACAAUGAGUAUAGUGGUACGAUGAUUAUGUAUAUAUAUAUAUAGAUAUAUAUAUAAUAUUUAUAUAUAUAAAUAUAUAUGCAUAUAUAGCGAGAUACGGGCUAUAUAUACAUAUCGGGCUCCACACAUUCAAAAAGUCGUGACAAGACUCAGCAAACCACAAAUUUCUGCAAAUAUCCAGAAAUAAAGGUUAAACAUGAUUAAAAGUUCCUCAGAAUCGUGUAUAAUAAGUAAUCUUUUUUUUUUUUUUCCAUGACCGGCCGCGUCGCGACGUCGCGAGACGCUCGGCCACCUCUCUGUGUGUUUUUUUUCUUUCUCUAGCGCUUUUAGUUAUCUAAAAUCGCUCCGCGCACCACGCGCCGCCGCAACACGGAGGCCAAUUGUCCCUCCUCCUCCUCUCUAUGGUCUCGUGUCACAAACGCGAAGAGUAGAGAAACGCUCUACCGACGUUUCGCAAGAUAUUUGCUUCGCGCGUUAUACGCACGCAAUAAAACAAAAAGAACAAAAGUUUAGUUCGAGACGCGAGUUUACAAAUUGAAUUUUUCUCUCCAAAGAACAUCAGAUAGAAAUCAAAACUCACGUUUUCCUUUCUUCUUUCGUCUCGUUUUUUCCUCAAAGAUACGAACAACGUUUUUUGCGUUUCCAAAAAUACCGCAAUAUUCAUUUAAGUCGAUUGAAGGAAGAAAGCCGUUUCGUUUCCAAAGUCGACGUUCGAAAAAAAAAAAAAAAAAAACAAUGAAUCGAACUCUUGAAAAUUUCGCGAGACAGAGGAGGAUAUUUCUCGUCAUCGUCCUCCAGACGUGUGUUGUUGCACACAGUGCAGCGGCGCCGGUGCUGGACGGACAUGUUGUACUCUAACAUAAACGUCAGCCCACACCAAAUUGUCCAUGAUGUGACCGAAGGUUGGUCGAACAAGUGGAGACGAACUUAUUCACACAGCUUUCGCACGAGCGAGCGCAACCCCGGAUCAAUCAUCACAACGAGCGUUCACAAUAAUCGGAUAAUGCAUAACUACAAGAACAACGCUCUCUUUCGAGAGAGAACGACAAAGUACACAAAUUACUUAACGAAAAAUAUAAAAAAAGAUACACCGCAAUCAGCAAAAUCUUCCAGAAAAACUAAAACAAAGAUAUAUAUACUCAAAAAGAGAGUGAAUUUUUUCAGAGACGCAAAAUAUCAUCGCACACGCAACAUAUCCGAAAGAAAAAAAAAAAAAAAAAA
Molecule: long non-coding RNA, 3414 nt
Organism: Pseudomyrmex gracilis
Lineage: Eukaryota; Metazoa; Arthropoda; Insecta; Hymenoptera; Formicidae
Exons: 2
Source: RefSeq, a predicted model, not a curated record